This is a long non-coding RNA of Glossina fuscipes, 897 nucleotides long. RefSeq lists it as uncharacterized. The record is from RefSeq and is a predicted model, not a curated record. Lineage: Eukaryota; Metazoa; Arthropoda; Insecta; Diptera; Glossinidae. The transcript has 3 exons.
AAUCACAUGCGACCAAUAAAAUGAGAGGAAAGAAAUCUUGUGACAUCAAUUGUAACAUCAACGGAAAUCUUAAUUGAAACAACAGUCAAGUGAAGAUCAGUUAAAAAUCUAAUUUGAAAGUUGUCGUAAGGCCCAUGAUGAUCCUCGUUCCCCAGACUUGCAAAAAAGUCAUAAUUAUUCCUGGCCAACUCUCAAUACAUUGUUUUUUUUCAAUCCUCGCCACCAGUAAGGAGUGUCAAACGCAUCAUGGCCACUGAUAUAGGUAAAUUUUUUAAUUCUGCGGAAAUAUUGGCAAGCGUUCCAUUCUAGGCUUUACAAUUUAAAUGGUUGGGAACGGCCGGUAAUGCGGGUAGCAAUUUAGGUAUUCAGAUCGACUCAUUGAAUCGGUUUUUAUCGCCAAAUGCAUUCCUAAUGUAAGAAAAUGUAUACCGCAAGGUAAUUUAAACGUCGUGAGCAUAACCACACCAUUUCAACCUCAAGGUAUAAUAUUCUCAAGACAGCAAAGGAUGAAAGUGUAGUAAUGUAAUGAAAAAAUCUCUACCCCAAGAAGAAAUAAAGGCAGAGCCAAUAAACUUAAAUAUGGUUCUCGAACUUGACCUUACGACUCUACUAAGAAAUUAUUUAACAAUUUAACUGUGUCAAUCUCUCUCAACUAUACAUUCGCAAUAACCGCCAAUGAAAACACUUGGCCAACAUAUUACCUGGAAUGCAUAUUAUUAUGGCAAAUACACAUACAUAAUGAUCAAUUUUGGUAAGGAGGUCCCACAAGGACGGAUGGACGCACAAUGACCUAUAUAAGUGGUUAAGAUCAAUUUUCAAUCUCUAGAUAUCAAAAAUUUAAAUUAUUGUGCCACUUAAAUUGAUAAAGUCAAUAUAAGCAAAUUUAGUAAGCAAAAA